AUUGAACGCUGGCGGCAGGCCUAACACAUGCAAGUCGAACGCGUGGCGGACGGGUGAGUAAUGUCUGGGAAACUGCCUGAUGGAGGGGGAUAACUACUGGAAACGGUAGCUAAUAACGCAUACUAUCCGAUGAGCCUAGGUCGGAUUAGCUAGUUGGGGGGGUAAAGGCCGACGAAGGCGAAGAUCCGUAACUGGUCUGAGAGGAUGAACAGUCACACUGGAACUGAGACACGGUCCAGACUCCUACGGGAGGCAGCAGUGGGGAAUAUGGCACAAUGGGCGCAAGCCUGAUGCAGCCAUGCCGCGUGUAUGAAGAAGGCCUGCGGGUUGUAAAGUACUUUCAGCGGGGAGGCGUUACCCGAAGAAGAAGCACCGGCGAACUCCGUGCCAGCCGCCGCGGUAAUUC
This 406-nucleotide ribosomal RNA is filed under the name uncultured bacterium. RNAcentral's name for it is "partial 16S ribosomal RNA". It matches the Rfam family "Bacterial small subunit ribosomal RNA", at positions 29 to 526 of the family's 1533-position model. The record is from RNAcentral.